Molecule: long non-coding RNA, 740 nt
Organism: Prionailurus viverrinus (fishing cat)
Lineage: Eukaryota; Metazoa; Chordata; Mammalia; Carnivora; Felidae
Exons: 5
Source: RefSeq, a predicted model, not a curated record
CAGGAUCAAAGGAAAUCCUGAGACCACUCCAAGACCUCAUGGGGCCUAAUGAGGACUAGGGGAGGAACCCACCACCUGAAUCUGGGGCUGAUCAAGGCCAAGAUGGAAAGCAAAGAAGCUGGAAUGGCACCAGAUCCCUUCAGGAAACCUACCGGAUAUCCUGAGGAUUAAAUUCUGUGAAAAUGUUUGGUGAAUCAGAAAGUCCCAUGUAAAUGUUACAGUAGAGAUCCUGGUUAGGUUGUACCUCUCUCUUGGAGACAGAAGACCUGGUCGCUUAAAAUGUUGCAAUUAGAAAUGUUCAUGUAGCAGAGAAGAAGUAAUGAAGAGCCAAAUGAAAAGCUCUGAUAUGUGAUGUGUAAACUGACUUGAAAUAACAAGUUCAUACAGAAUAAGGAAGAACAUCCAGGAAAAUCCUGGAAAACAACAACACAAAAACCCAAUAAGGUAGAUACAAAGAAUCCAGUGGAGGGAUGCUGAAUGUGAGAAGAUGGCCAACUCACACUACAGAGAAAUUCUAGGUCCCCAAAUUACUAUAUAGAACAGGACCCUUCACCUCACCUCCUGCUAAUCUACACUAAAUCAGGAUGUGAGUGAUACAUUUUUAUCAUGUCAAAUCACUGAGAAUCUGACUUUUUGUUAAAACAACAACCACUACCUACUCUAAAGCAGAAAGCUAAAUGGAUCCUGAAAUGAUUCCUUCCGUAUGCUCAGCCUACCUUAAAGAGCCAAAAAUGUCUUGA